GGAGUCAGGUGCGAAGUCCGGCUCCUGUAGGAGUCCGGACGGAGCUUACCAGCAGUUGAAGUUGGUGACGGAGCCCGGCUCCCGUAGGAGUCCGGGCGGAGUCUUCCUGCAGUUAAAGUCAGGUGCGAAGUCCGGCUCCCGUAGGAGUCCGGAUGGAGCUUACCAGCAGUUGAAGUUGGUGAUGGAGCCCGGCUCCCGUAGGAGUCUAGGUGGGUCUUCCUAUAGC
RNAcentral lists this long non-coding RNA (226 nucleotides) under Elaeis guineensis (African oil palm). RNAcentral describes it as "long non-coding RNA (EGUI_LNC063323)". The record is from RNAcentral. Lineage: Eukaryota; Viridiplantae; Streptophyta; Magnoliopsida; Arecales; Arecaceae.